AACGCACAUUGCGCCCAUUGGUAUUCCUUUGGGCAUGUCUGUUUGAGCGUCAUUACAACUCUUCAACAUUUAAGUUGGUUAUGGGUUCUAUUGCAAUUUUUUUUUUGUAAUAGGCUUUAAAGUUGUAUGCUCUGCAGGCUGCUUUGCCAAAUCAAAACAUAGUAAUUUUACUCUUUGUUUUUUAGUGAGGCUUUGCAUGCUCUGCCUGAAUAAAAAAUCUUUAAUUUCUAAGGUUUGACCUCAGAUCAGACAAGGAUACCCGCUGAACUUAA
RNAcentral lists this unclassified non-coding RNA (272 nucleotides) under uncultured Orbiliales. RNAcentral describes it as "sequence contains 5.8S rRNA gene, ITS2, 28S rRNA gene". Lineage: Eukaryota; Fungi; Ascomycota; Orbiliomycetes; Orbiliales. The record is from RNAcentral.